UAGGGAAUCUUCCACAAUGGGCGCAAGCCUGAUGGAGCAACACCGCGUGAGUGAAGAAGGUUUUCGGAUCGUAAAGCUCUGUUGUAAGUCAAGAACGAGUGUGAGAGUGGAGAGUUCACACUGUGACGGUAGCUUACCAGAAAGGGACGGCUAACUACGUGCCAGCAGCCGCGGUAAUACGUAGGUCCCGAGCGUUGUCCGGAUUUAUUGGGCGUAAAGCGAGCGCAGGCGGUUUGAUAAGUCUGAAGUUAAAGGCUGUGGCUCAACCAUAGUUCGCUUUGGAAACUGUCAAACUUGAGUGCAGAAGGGGAGAGUGGAAUUCCAUGUGUAGCGGUGAAAUGCGUAGAUAUAUGGAGGAACACCGGUGGCGAAAGCGGCUCUCUGGUCUGUAACUGACGCUGAGGCUCGAAAGCGUGGGGAGCGAACAGGAUUAGAUACCCUGGUAGUCCACGCCGUAAACGAUGAGUGCUAGGUGUUGGAUCCUUUCCGGGAUUCAGUGCCGCAGCUAACGCAUUAAGCACUCCGCCUGGGGAGUACGACCGCAAGGUUG
This 550-nucleotide ribosomal RNA is filed under the name uncultured bacterium. Its description in RNAcentral is "bacterial SSU rRNA". It matches the Rfam family "Bacterial small subunit ribosomal RNA", at positions 355 to 896 of the family's 1533-position model. The record is from RNAcentral.